RNAcentral lists this unclassified non-coding RNA (335 nucleotides) under soil metagenome. Its description in RNAcentral is "partial contains 5.8S ribosomal RNA, internal transcribed spacer 2, and large subunit ribosomal RNA". The stretch from base 1 to 120 matches the Rfam family "5.8S ribosomal RNA", at positions 35 to 154 of the family's 154-position model. The record is from RNAcentral.
GAUGAAGAACGCAGCGAAAUGCGAUAAGUAAUGUGAAUUGCAGAAUUCAGUGAAUCAUCGAAUCUUUGAACGCACAUUGCGCCCAUUAGUAUUCUAGUGGGCAUGUCUGUUCGAGCGUCAUUUCAACCCUUAAGCCUAGCUUAGUAUUGGGAAUCGACUUUACUGUCGUUCCUCAAAUUCAACGGCGGAUUUAUAGCAAUCUCUGAACGUAGUAAUUUUUUUCCUCGUUUUUGAAAUACUAUAAACCUCAGCCGCUAAACCCCCAAUUUUUCUAUGGUUGACCUCGGAUCAGGUAGGAAUACCCGCUGAACUUAAGCAUAUCAAUAAGCGGAGGA